RNAcentral lists this unclassified non-coding RNA (326 nucleotides) under uncultured fungus. Its description in RNAcentral is "sequence contains ITS2". The record is from RNAcentral. Lineage: Eukaryota; Fungi.
AACGCACAUUGCACUCUCUGGUAUUCCGGAGAGUAUGCUUGUUUGAGUAUCAGUAAACACCUCAAAUCUCUACUUUAUUGUAAAGAAUUGGACUUGAGCAAUCCCAACUUUCGCAAGAGAGGCGGGUUGCUUGAAAUGCAGGUGCAGCUAGACAUUCUUCUGAGCUAAAAGCAUAUUUAUUUAGUCCCGUCAAACGGAUUAUUACUUUUGCUCUAGCUAAUAUAAAGGUCGAAUGCGCUACAAUGCUGACUGAUGCAGGAUUCACAAAGCCUUUCUGGUUUUGUAAACUCGAUCUCAAAUCAAGUAAGACUACCCGCUGAACUUAA